AUUUCCUUCCAAAACGUUUGGUAAAAUUGGAAUGACACAGAGAAAGAUUAGCAUGGCUCCUCUCAGAGAAUGCCACAAACAGCAGCCUUAUAACUCGUUAUUUU
Molecule: small nuclear RNA, 104 nt
Organism: Nymphaea colorata (pocket water lily)
Lineage: Eukaryota; Viridiplantae; Streptophyta; Magnoliopsida; Nymphaeales; Nymphaeaceae
Source: RefSeq, a predicted model, not a curated record